GUGGGGAAUCUUGCGCAAUGGGCGAAAGCCUGACGCAGCCAUGCCGCGUGAAUGAUGAAGGUCUUAGGAUUGUAAAAUUCUUUCACCGGGGACGAUAAUGACGGUACCCGGAGAAGAAGCCCCGGCUAACUUCGUGCCAGCAGCCGCGGUAAUACGAAGGGGGCUAGCGUUGCUCGGAAUUACUGGGCGUAAAGGGCGCGUAGGCGGACAGUUUAGUCAGAGGUGGAAGCCCAGGGCUCAACCUUGGAAUUGCCUUUGAUACUGGCUGUCUUGAGUACGGGAGAGGUGAGUGGAACUCCGAGUGUAGAGGUGAAAUUCGUAGAUAUUCGGAAGAACACCAGUGGCGAAGGCGACUCACUGGCCCGUUACUGACGCUGAGGCGCGAAAGCGUGGGGAGCAAACAGGAUUGGAAACCCCUGUAGUCC
This 425-nucleotide ribosomal RNA is filed under the name uncultured bacterium. RNAcentral's name for it is "partial 16S ribosomal RNA". It matches the Rfam family "Bacterial small subunit ribosomal RNA", at positions 354 to 796 of the family's 1533-position model. The record is from RNAcentral.